Molecule: ribosomal RNA, 900 nt
Filed under: uncultured Bacillota bacterium
Lineage: Bacteria; Bacillati; Bacillota
Description: bacterial SSU rRNA
Rfam family: Bacterial small subunit ribosomal RNA
Source: RNAcentral
AGUCGAACGCGAAAGCUCCCUUCGGGGGGCAAGUAGAGUGGCGCACGGGUGAGUAACACGUAGGUAAUCUACCUUCGGAUGGGGAAUAACAACCGGAAACGGUUGCUAAUACCGCAUAAUGCAGCGGCACCUAAUGGUGACAGUUGUUAAAGCGGGGGAUCGUAAGACCUCGCGUCUGAAGAGGAGCCUGCGGCAGAUUAGCUAGUUGGUAAGGUAACGGCUUACCAAGGCGAUGAUCUGUAGCCGGCCUGAGAGGGCGGUCGGCCACACUGACACUGACAUACGGGUCAGACUCCUACGGGAGGCAGCAGUCGGGAAUUUUGGGCAAUGGGCGAAAGCCUGACCCAGCAACGCCGCGUGAAGGAUGAAAUCCUUCGGGAUGUAAACUUCGCAAGAACGGGAAGAAUAAGUGAGGGUUAAUAUCUCUCGCGAUGACGGUACCGUUUGUAAGCUCCGGCUAACUCCGUGCCAGCAGCCGCGGUAAUACGGGGGAGCAAGCGUUGUUCGGAUUUACUGGGCGUAAAGGGCGCGUAGGCGGCCACCGCAAGUCGACUGUGAAAUCUCCGGGCUUAACCCGGAAAGGUCAGCCGAUACUGCGGGGCUAGAGUGCAGAAGGGGCAACUGGAAUUCUCGGUGUAGCGGUGAAAUGCGUAGAUAUCGAGAGGAACACCUGCGGCGAAGGCGGGUUGCUGGGCUGACACUGACGCUGAGGCGCGAAAGCUAGGGGAGCGAACGGGAUUAGAUACCCCGGUAGUCCUAGCCUUAAACGAUGAAUGCUUGGUGUCUGGGGUUUUAUAGUCCCCGGGUGCCGUCGCUAACGCUUUAAGCAUUCCGCCUGGGGAGUACGGUCGCAAGACUGAAACUCAAAGGAAUUGACGGGGACCCGCACAAGCGGUGGAG